CAACUUCUAUGUCGCCCGCAAGCUUCACCUUCUUUUCUUCUAAUGAUCUAGCCUUUUGUUUCUGAUGUUUGCUUUCUGUAACUGUGGUGUUGCCAGCUCUCUUCUCUUCUAAUGUAGCAGGUAUUGUAGUAUCACUGGAGUUUGUAAGAUUUCCUGCUACUACAAUGGUAGGUGUUGUGUGUGCUUUGUUUGUUUGUUCUGGAGUUCUCUUACUGCUUGGAUCCUUUCUGCCCUGGAACCUGGUCUUGAUCUCUUCGAGCUCGGCUUCCUUCCGCUGCAGGAUUUCCAUAAGAGCUGCCAUUUGGUCAUGGUUUGACUCCGCGGUGGCUUUCUCCUCCAGUAGUUUGAUGCGGAUGUCUUUUUCUUUGAGAGAUACUUCCUGUUCUUUCUGAGUUUUCUGAAGAUUUGUGGCUUUCUCUUCCAUUUGUUUGAUGCGUCUGUCUCUUUCCUUGAGAGACGUUUCCAGUUCUUUUCGGGUGCUGUGAAGAUCUGAGGCUGUCUCUUCCAUUUGGCUGAUGCGGCUGUCUUUCUCUUUGAGAGAUGAUUCGAGUUCUUUCUGCGUGGUCUUAAGCACAUAUUGGUUUAGGAGAUAUCAAAUGGCACACAUAAGAUUGGAAACAAUGAGCAAGAUUUUUGCAUUUUGAGAGCAUGCAUAUUCCACAAGAAAGAAAAAGGGGUUAGCAGCUGUUGCUAAAGAACCAUUGUUCUUGCAUCACCUUGUCUCCAUGGUCUAAAAACGGACAAGAAAAAGGAACUGGAGGACAUGAACCAUGGCCAUACCUGGAGGAGGGCUCGAAGGGAGAUGAUCUUCCCAUCACGUUCCUGGAUAAGAACAGCGAAAACGCGCUGCUCCCUCACCUUGUGCAUGACGACGACGCUCAGCCCCGCAGCGGUGAGGAACACCAGAAGCAGCAGCAAGUACGGGAGCCUCUUGGCGGCGCUGCUGGCCAUCCCGUAGCCUUUUGGAUCUUGCUUGGUGCAGCAAUGCGGAGGAAACUAAUGGAGCUGCAGGUGCAGGGAAGAAGUGACUGCUGAGUGUCGACUAGCAAAUGUAGAGAUUACACAAGCUCUGGGCUGUUUAUCGUGGAUCGGACGGUUGUGAGGAGAAGCUGUUUUCGUGGAUCAUCAUGAAUGUAAAACCGACGGUAUCUGCGAUCUCCAGGCAACAAUCACCUCAAGAUGAGUAAUGUAUUCAUGGAGCAGCUGCAAGGGUUAGUGCUCCACCAUGCAGGCAGGGCAACGAGUAUCUUUGACCUAGGCAAGCUCCAUCAAAGGACGAGAGAGAUCUCGUUAACAAUGGUUGAGAAAACAUAUGCUACCACUCCCAAGUCCAGAUGGAGCUGCCACCAAUGCAAACACAGAUUUGAAUUUGCAGGGUCGAUUAACAGUUGGAUAGCUGCUUAAAAAAGGAGUAUUUAGGAAAAGGCCCAGUAUAAGAGGAAGAGUUGAAUACAAUAUGUAGAGUGCGUCCC
Lolium rigidum is the source of this 1472-nucleotide long non-coding RNA. RefSeq lists it as uncharacterized. The transcript is spliced from 7 exons. The record is from RefSeq and is a predicted model, not a curated record. Lineage: Eukaryota; Viridiplantae; Streptophyta; Magnoliopsida; Poales; Poaceae.